This 1031-nucleotide unclassified non-coding RNA is filed under the name Leishmania donovani. RNAcentral describes it as "gene:LdHU3.22.1050(CDS-product:hypothetical_prote in_conserved)". The record is from RNAcentral. Lineage: Eukaryota; Euglenozoa; Kinetoplastea; Trypanosomatida; Trypanosomatidae.
CGCACAGCACUAAAGUUUUUAGAAGACGUUACAAACCCCGUUCAGCCCCUCUCGUUCGCCGUGCCUUUCAACUUCUCGAAGAGUAAAGGACUACUUUUUUUUCCUGAGACGCUUCUCGCUUUGGCAUCUACUCAGCCUCACCAUGCGACGUCCAAAGACCGAAUGCGAGAUACAGCAGGAGCAGUCAGAUGAGCUGUUUGCGCGUCAGCUUCAAGAGCAGCUGAACAACUCAGGCGAUGUUGUUCAUGCUCCGCCUCCGCAGAGCGGACCGUCGAAGUCAGUGCAGGAGGCUGCCGAUGCUGCUUACGCUCGCCAGCUUCAACAAGAAAUCGACCGUCAAGAGGCCGCCACCGAUGCAGGUGACUCUAGAGCAAGUGAGGACAAGAUCCCCGUGGAGUGCCCUGCUUGCACCUUUGUCAACUACAUGAAGCCAUCUAGCUCGUCGAACCACUGGAAAUGUGCUCAGUGCAGCAGACCUUUGAUGGAAAAUGUAUCGUACUCAGGCCAUGUCUCCCACAAAGAUCUCGUGGAGUGCAGAGUGUGCCAUUCCCUCAACAAGCUCCCUACGAAGAAGUCCGAUGCUGUUUUGUGUGGCGGAUGUUAUCAGGAGCUCGGCUCGACCCUGAGCAGCGCUUCGCAUGUAGAGAGCGAAGAAAACCAGCGUACAGUGCAGCUUCGCUGUGGCCAAUGCAGCGUGAUCAAUGCUGUGACAGUCGGUGUCAAUGUGAAGAGAUUAGAGUUCAUAUGUGGUGGCUGUGGAGUAUUGAAUACGAUGACACUUGAGUAAGUCGCGCUUAAAGUCCCCAUUUUGCCGGCGGCUCGCAUUGCUUUCACCCUUUCGCGUGUCUUUUUUCAUCUGGCGCUUUCGUAUGGUUGUCAGGUCCUUUUUUACCUUUGCAUUCACUUCAAAACACGUUUAUCUCCCGAGAAUAUGUUCUUUUUUUUUUGUCACGAUGAUUAUUAGCGAGUUUGUGAUAUGCUAUUUGCCUUCUAUCUCUGUUUGCGAUUCCUAUGCUUGUUUGUAUCGCUUG